This 826-nucleotide ribosomal RNA is filed under the name uncultured Bacteroidota bacterium. RNAcentral's name for it is "bacterial SSU rRNA". It matches the Rfam family "Bacterial small subunit ribosomal RNA", at positions 54 to 878 of the family's 1533-position model. The record is from RNAcentral. Lineage: Bacteria; Pseudomonadati; Bacteroidota.
CAUGCAAGUCGAGGGGUAACAUAAAGUGCUUGCACUUUGAUGACGACCGGCGCACGGGUGAGUAACGCGUAUACAAUCUGCCUCAUACUAGGGGAUAGCCCAGAGAAAUUUGGAUUAAUACCCUAUAGUAUCAUUUAGAGUCAUCUCUUUAUGAUUAAAGGUUACGGUAUGAGAUGAGUAUGCGUUCUAUUAGUUAGUAGGUGAGGUAACGGCUCACCUAGACCACGAUAGAUAGGGGCCCUGAGAGGGGGAUCCCCCACACUGGUACUGAGACACGGACCAGACUCCUACGGGAGGCAGCAGUGAGGAAUAUUAGACAAUGGGCGAAAGCCUGAUCUAGCCAUGCCGCGUGCAGGAUGACGGCCCUAUGGGUUGUAAACUGCUUUUAUACAGGAAGAAAAAACUCUACGUGUAGAGUCUUGACGGUACUGUAAGAAUAAGGAUCGGCUAACUCCGUGCCAGCAGCCGCGGUAAUACGGAGGAUCCAAGCGUUAUCCGGAAUUAUUGGGUUUAAAGGGUCCGUAGGUGGACAAUUAAGUCAGAGGUGAAAUCCUGCAGCUCAACUGUAGAAUUGCCUUUGAAACUGGUUGUCUUGAGUCAUUAUGAAGUGGUUAGAAUGUGUAGUGUAGCGGUGAAAUGCAUAGAUAUUACACAGAAUACCAAUUGCGAAGGCAGAUCACUAAUAAUGUACUGACACUGAUGGACGAAAGCGUGGGUAGCGAACAGGAUUAGAUACCCUGGUAGUCCACGCCGUAAACGAUGGUCACUAGCUGUUUGGACUUCGGUCUGAGUGGCUAAGCGAAAGUGAUAAGUGACCCACCUGGGG